RNAcentral lists this transfer RNA (66 nucleotides) under Ixodes scapularis (black-legged tick). It matches the Rfam family "tRNA". From Rfam's summary of the family: Transfer RNA (tRNA) molecules are approximately 80 nucleotides in length. Their secondary structure includes four short double-helical elements and three loops (D, anti-codon, and T loops). Lineage: Eukaryota; Metazoa; Arthropoda; Arachnida; Ixodida; Ixodidae. The record is from Rfam by way of RNAcentral.
UCCUGGUUAGCUCAGUUGGUAGAGCGCUCUACUGGAAAUAGAGAGGUCAUGGGUUGAUACCAGGAC